CCUACGGGUGGCUGCAGUGGGGAAUAUUGGUCAAUGGAGGCAACUCUUACCCCGCAAUGCCGCGUGAAUGAAGAAGGUCUUCGGAUUUUAAAGUUCUUUAAUUGGGGACGAAAAAAAUGACGCUACCCAAGGAAUAAGCCCCUGCUAACUUAGUGCCAGCAGCCGCGGGAAUACAGCGGGGGCAAGCGUUGUUCGGAGAGACUGGGGGUAAAGGGUGUGUAGGCGGUGUAGCAAGUUAGAAGGGAAAUACCUAGAGCUUAACUCAGGUGCUGCUUCUAAAACUGCUAUACUUGAGUGCAGUAGAGGAAAGUGGAAUUCCUAGUGUAGCGGUGAAAUGCGUAGAUAUUAGGAGGAACAUCAGUGGCGAAGGCGACUUUCUGGACUGUAACUGACGCUGAGGCACGAAAGUGUGGGGAGCAAACAGGAUUAGAUACCCUUGUAGUC
Molecule: ribosomal RNA, 444 nt
Filed under: uncultured bacterium
Lineage: Bacteria
Description: partial 16S ribosomal RNA
Rfam family: Bacterial small subunit ribosomal RNA
Source: RNAcentral